Hevea brasiliensis (rubber tree) is the source of this 710-nucleotide long non-coding RNA. RefSeq lists it as uncharacterized. The transcript has 3 exons. Lineage: Eukaryota; Viridiplantae; Streptophyta; Magnoliopsida; Malpighiales; Euphorbiaceae. The record is from RefSeq and is a predicted model, not a curated record.
UUUCUUUAUUCUCUUUGUAAUCUCUACUUUCUUCUGCUGCUCUGCACAGUUUAUGAUUUUUUUGUGUUUAUGAUUUCAUUGGUUCAGUCAAUGCAAAAAGGAUAUUUUCCUCUUCUCAGUUACAUUUUUAUUUUUUUUUCCCUUGCAAUCUCUGAUUUCAACUGUUCAGCUUGUGCAAAAAGGAGAGGUGAUCCUUUUUUUUUUUCCCAUUUGUAAUCUCUGCUUUUUCCUGUAUAGUGUCCUUUUUAUUUUUUUUUCUUUAUAAUAUAUUAUUUUUUCUGUUCAGUCAGUGCGAAAAGGAGAGAGGAUUUGUUCUUUUUCCCUCUGUAAUUUCUACUUUCUUUUGCUUAGUGUCGUUUUUAUUUUUUUUUUCCCUAGAAUUUAUGAUUUCUUCUAUUCAGUUAAUGCAAAAAGGAGAGGUAAGCAAGAAUAGGCGACAGUAUCUGAUCAUUUAGGAAAUGGGGCAUUUGAGGAUUUCUUUUUUAGCAAGUCUAGUACGUUUAAGAGUUACUCUCAUGGGUAUCCAUACCAAAUCCAAGAAGCAAACCAUAAAAUUGGAUCUUGCAGUAAUAGGGCUAAAGGAAAAUCCAAAGUUGCUGUUGAAUCUGAAAUUCCAAGGAAAAAACGUGUUUUAAUUUUUGUGACAAUUAAAUUUUUAAUGAUAAUUAUUUUAUUUUUUCUAUGUUUAACAAUAGGGAUAAAAAAGAAUA